This 164-nucleotide ribosomal RNA is filed under the name uncultured bacterium. RNAcentral describes it as "partial 16S ribosomal RNA". It matches the Rfam family "Bacterial small subunit ribosomal RNA", at positions 355 to 511 of the family's 1533-position model. The record is from RNAcentral.
UGAGGAAUUUUGGACAAUGGGCGCAAGCCUGAUCCAGCCAUGCCGCGUGCAGGAUGAAGGCCUUCGGGUUGUAAACUGCUUUUGUACGGAACGAAACGGCCUUUUCUAAUAAAGAGGGCUAAUGACGGUACCGUAAGAAUAAGCACCGGCUAACUACGUGCCAG